GUGUCCUACGGGGCGCAGCAGUAGGGAAUCUUCCACAAUGGGCGAAAGCCUGAUGGAGCAACGCCGCGUGGGUGAAGAAGGUCUUCGGAUCGUAAAACCCUGUUGUUAGAGAAGAAAGUGCGUGAGAGUAACUGUUCACGUUUCGACGGUAUCUAACCAGAAAGCCACGGCUAACUACGUGCCAGCAGCCGCGGUAAUACGUAGGUGGCAAGCGUUAUCCGGAUUUAUUGGGCGUAAAGGGUGCGUAGGCGGCCUGCUAAGUCUGGAGUGAAAGGCACCGGCUCAACCGGUACA
RNAcentral lists this ribosomal RNA (294 nucleotides) under uncultured bacterium. RNAcentral describes it as "partial 16S ribosomal RNA". It matches the Rfam family "Bacterial small subunit ribosomal RNA", at positions 334 to 620 of the family's 1533-position model. The record is from RNAcentral.